CAACCUGCCCACCACUUGGGGAUAACCUUGCGAAAGUAAGACUAAUACCCAAUGAUAUCUCUAGAAGACAUCUGAAAGAGAUUAAAGAUUUAUCGGUGAUGGAUGGGGAUGCGUCUGAUUAGCUUGUUGGCGGGGUAACGGCCCACCAAGGCAACGAUCAGUAGGGGUUCUGAGAGGAAGGUCCCCCACAUUGGAACUGAGACACGGUCCAAACUCCUACGGGAGGCAGCAGUGAGGAAUAUUGGUCAAUGGACGAGAGUCCGAACCAGCCAAGUAGCGUGCAGGAUGACGGCCCUAUGGGUUGUAAGCUGCUUUUAUAAGGGAAUAAAGUGAGCCUCGUGAGGCUUUUUGUAUGUACCUUAUGAAUAAGGACCGGCUAAUUCCGUGCCAGCAGCCGCGGUAAUACGGAANGUCCAGGCGUUAUCCGGAUUUAUUGGGUUUAAAGGGAGCGUAGGCCGGAGAUUAAGCGUGUUGUGAAAUGUAGACGCUCAACGUCUGCACUGCAGCGCGAACUGGUUUCCUUGAGUACGCACAAAGUGGGCGGAAUUCGUGGUGUAGCGGUGAAAUGCUUAGAUAUCACGAAGAACUCCGAUUG
This 595-nucleotide ribosomal RNA is filed under the name uncultured Bacteroidota bacterium. Its description in RNAcentral is "bacterial SSU rRNA". It matches the Rfam family "Bacterial small subunit ribosomal RNA", at positions 122 to 715 of the family's 1533-position model. Lineage: Bacteria; Pseudomonadati; Bacteroidota. The record is from RNAcentral.